Xiphophorus couchianus (Monterrey platyfish) is the source of this 431-nucleotide long non-coding RNA. RefSeq lists it as uncharacterized. NCBI's taxonomy places the organism in Eukaryota, Metazoa, Chordata, Actinopteri, Cyprinodontiformes, Poeciliidae. The transcript has 4 exons. The record is from RefSeq and is a predicted model, not a curated record.
CUAGUUUAUGCAAAGCCUUCACACGGUUCCUGAGGCUUCAGGGAAGGCUGCAUUGAGUGUGUCAUCCAGAGAGCUAAGGCAAUCGGUGAAACGUCAGCAUGGCUACCAUCAACCCACGGCGAGCACUCAUAUUCAAGAUACAAAAAAAACUUUGCACAUUGAGUACACAGCAGCUGCAGACAGUCGUGACCUCGAUUGACGAUGAAAGCGCCAUUCAUGUUCACGAUUUAAGUGAACCAGAACUGUAUGAUUGGAUUGUCGACUUUGUUAAAAGUGAGAAACUGAAAGCGUCAGAGGAUGAAGGCAUGGCUCAGCUCCUCCUUUUGGAUGAACUGGUUAGUAACCUGCUCGUCGUUGAUAUCGGUGCAACUGGAGAUGACCCAACCACACUUUCAAGAACUGAUAAUGUGUCAGCUGGUCGGACUGGUGGU